Non-coding RNA from Podarcis muralis (Common wall lizard), 895 nucleotides. The record is from RefSeq and is a predicted model, not a curated record. NCBI's taxonomy places the organism in Eukaryota, Metazoa, Chordata, Lepidosauria, Squamata, Lacertidae.
UCCCGAGCAGAAGCCGCCGAUCGCCGCCGCCCCCCAUGGCUGGGGACGAGGAGGAGGCGACUGCCGCUCAUCGCAGGAGCCGAAGAUGAAGUCACACAAGGCAACUCCUUAAGGAAAAUCCAUGGGAUUUAAAGGUGACAGCCCAGGAGUAAGUCUCACUGAACUUGAGCAGGACUUACUUCGGAAUAGGGAUGGAUGAAAUCGGCAAAUUUUGGUUGCUCCACUCUUUGCAUUUUGUGUCUUGUCACUUGACUGGAGACCUGCAUUGCAGAAUUCGGAAAAGUGCCCAUCUUGAAGAGUGUCUGUAUUUCAGCUUGCACUGCUACCAUGCAAAUAUAUGGUAAAAUAUUAAAUGUGUGUUUGGGUUAACAGUGGAUCCUAGGUCAGAAAAGGCUGAAGACACCUGUGUUAGAAGGAUAGAUAACCAUGGUAGUAUAAUGGAGGUCUGUUAAAAAGAAGUUUAAAAUCUAGCCUGCAGGAUACCAGUUUGGCAGUAAUCUCUCCAGUGAUUUGACCUCUAUGCGUUGGUUUUUUAAAUCCUCAUUAUUUUUAAUGUGCCCAUCUGCAUCUUACUCUCCCUUGUUUGUUUGUUUGUUUUUUCCUCAAGUCUCCCAUUUCCCCUUUGUCUUCAAAAUAUUUAUAAGUAGAGGAUUAAAAAGAAGAAGGGGGAGGAGGAGGUUUGCUUCUUCUUACAAGCGUCAACGCAGGGCAUUUUGGAGAGGAAAUGGGUUGCGCAUUGUGCUUGCAAUUUUAUGUUUCUCUGAUGUGAAAAUGACCUUCUUUGGAGUGGUGUACACAGAUGACAUCAGUGGGAGAGUGCCAUGCAGUGUUAUUCAUGCCCUAUUUCUUUGAAUAAAUUAAAACGAAAUGUGGGUGAAGAGCCGCUUGCUUUGUG